RNAcentral lists this ribosomal RNA (462 nucleotides) under uncultured bacterium. RNAcentral's name for it is "partial 16S ribosomal RNA". It matches the Rfam family "Bacterial small subunit ribosomal RNA", at positions 28 to 507 of the family's 1533-position model. The record is from RNAcentral.
GACGAACGCUGGCGGCGUGCUUAACACAUGCAAGUCGAACGGAAAGGCCCUUCCGGGUUCUCGAGUGUCGGACGGGAGCGUAACACGUGGGUGAGCGGACCCGCACUCUGGGAUAAGCCUGGGAAACGGGGUCUAAUACCGAAUCUGACUACGAGCAGGGUGGUGUUUGGCGGUAAGCUUUUGCGGUGUGGGAUGGGCCCGCGGCCUAUCAGCUUGUUGGUGGGGUAAUGGCCUACCAAGGCGACGACGGGUAGCCGGCCUGAGAGGGUGACCGGCCACACUGGGACUGAGAUACGGCCCAGACUCCUACGGGAGGCAGCAGUGGGGAAUAUUGCACAAUGGGCGAAAGCCUGAUGCAGCGACGCCGCGUGAGGGAUGACGGCCUUCGGGUUGUAAACCUCUUUCAGUAGGGAAGAAGCGAAAGUGACGGUACCUAUAGAAGAAGCACCGGCUAACUACGUG